GUGGGGAAUAUUGGACAAUGGGCGGAAGCCUGAUCCAGCCAUGCCGCGUGUGUGAAGAAGGCCUUUUGGUUGUAAAGCACUUUAAGCGAGGAGGAGGCUCCCUUAGUUAAUACCUAAAGUGAGUGGACGUUACUCGCAGAAUAAGCACCGGCUAACUCUGUGCCAGCAGCCGCGGUAAUACAGAGGGUGCGAGCGUUAAUCGGAUUUACUGGGCGUAAAGCGUGCGUAGGCGGCUUUUUAAGUCGGAUGUGAAAUCCCUGAGCUUAACUUAGGAAUUGCAUUCGAUACUGGAAAGCUAGAGUAUGGGAGAGGAUGGUAGAAUUCCAGGUGUAGCGGUGAAAUGCGUAGAGAUCUGGAGGAAUACCGAUGGCGAAGGCAGCCAUCUGGCCUAAUACUGACGCUGAGGUACGAAAGCAUGGGGAGCAAACAGGAUUAGAUACCCCAGUAGUCC
This 451-nucleotide ribosomal RNA is filed under the name uncultured bacterium. Its description in RNAcentral is "partial 16S ribosomal RNA". It matches the Rfam family "Bacterial small subunit ribosomal RNA", at positions 354 to 796 of the family's 1533-position model. The record is from RNAcentral.